RNAcentral lists this ribosomal RNA (460 nucleotides) under uncultured bacterium. RNAcentral's name for it is "partial 16S ribosomal RNA". It matches the Rfam family "Bacterial small subunit ribosomal RNA", at positions 338 to 795 of the family's 1533-position model. The record is from RNAcentral.
CCUACGGGUGGCAGCAGUGAGGAAUAUUGGUCAAUGGGCGCGAGCCUGAACCAGCCAAGUCGCGUGAGGGAGGACGGCCCUACGGGUUGUAAACCUCUUUUGCCGGGGAGCAAAGGGCGCCACGUGUGGCGUCACUGAGAGUACCCGGAGAAAAAGCAUCGGCUAACGCCGUGCCAGCAGCCGCGGUAAUACGGAGGAUGUGAGCGUUACCCGGAUUUAUUGGGUUUAAAGGGUGCGUAGGCGGAUGGUUAAGUCAGUGGUCAAAUUGAGGGGCGCAACCCCUGUCCGCCAUUGAAACUGGCGUUCUUGAGUGGAAGAGAAGUAUGCGGAAUGCGUGGUGUAGCGGUGAAAUGCAUAGAUAUCACGCAGAACCCCGAUUGCGAAGGCAGCAUGCCGGCUUCCGACUGACGCUGAAGCACGAAAGCGUGGGGAUCGAACAGGAUUAGAUACCCCAGUAGUC